RNAcentral lists this long non-coding RNA (1598 nucleotides) under Volvox carteri. RNAcentral describes it as "long non-coding RNA (VCAR_LNC002309)". Lineage: Eukaryota; Viridiplantae; Chlorophyta; Chlorophyceae; Chlamydomonadales; Volvocaceae. The record is from RNAcentral.
GACGAUGCGAAACCAAGGACGCGAUCCGUCUAAUACUAAACUCAAACACCCUGACACACAUCCAAAUGCCGUGAGAUUACUCAAAAGUUAUCUUGACAAGAGGAUCCAUCUGAAUUCAAACGCGGGCCGCACGCAUGUUUUCGGACAGAUGAAGGUCAUUCCAAACCCCGUCGACAGGUAUAGCGAUGGAUUACAUAUAUUUAGUGAACCAUAACCAUUCCUCCUAGCAGUCGCAUCUCAUCCCAUAUCGCAGCUUCCGCCUUACAACCAUAACCUGUUGGCAUUAAAAUCAUCGUCUGGCGUCUUCUGCCACUUUCAAACUGUUGUGUCCUUCGUUCGAGCAAGGUGUUUCACUCGCACCGCGCUCCUAGGCGAAGGCACACACACGGACACGGACACACAAGGGCCCGACCAGUUGGAAUCUUCGCAAACCAAUAAUGUCGCCGAUUACCUGCCCACUUCCCGCCAAAACACAAACUUAAAAAUAAAGAGUCUGCUAGGACGGUCGGUCCUCUGCAAGGCAGUAGCUAGGGCAGAUGUAAGAAACGCCAGUCAAUAGCGCAGAAACACGAGCAUCCAGCGGUCUUCAUUAAAAUUUGCUGAAGGAAACCAGCAAUAGUAAUAAACGGAUAGGACUUCCCCGUCAUACUUGUCGCACAUUACGCGUGCAGAUGUAAGAAACAAGAGCAGAUAGUAUCAGAAACAUACAACACAAAACAACCAUUUCGUGGUGCGCCAAGGGUGUCCGAGUCCGUAUCGAAGGCCCCCACACUCGUCACUGACUGUACCUGCCUGCGUCCCAAUUUCCAGGUAAAAGCAAACCAUCAACCGUCAAUUGUCAACUGUCCAACUGAAAACUUUGAUGAGGGCGGUCAUAUGUGCCGUGAAUAAUACGAUUAAAACGCCGCGUGCCUUAUCUCCCACAGAUAUGCCAGUCCACAGUACAGAACCGACGUGAAGGCCAACGUAAACUCGCCAGAGCACGUUGACAGACGGCUCCACGGGGUUGAUCGAAAGCAACGUUUCAGAUUCCGCUGUGUAAUUUUAGUACUAAAAUUACACAGCGCAAUAAAGAGGGCGCUUCAGAAUUAGGAAAUCAUACAGAAAUAAGUCGUUCGUAAGGUCAUCGGCCGAGGCAACCAAACCAUCGAAUUGUCCAAAUAGCCAACCAGAAAAACAGUAAAAAGAAAGCCCUGCUGGGGAAGCAAAUUACAAACCAACGAGGUUGCAGGUCGAGGUUACCGCGCGAGACGUGGAUACAGCACAAUAGAAACAAGUAGACUCAUAACGAUGUUGAUCAGGUAAAUUGCAGAUAAUUCAAAAUGAUAGGAAAAGCCGCAAAUAGGAGGUUAACUGAGGUAGGUCGAGGAUCGGAUGCUGGCGGGAGAGCUUUGCGCCCUCACAUCACGCAGACUCCCGAAACUCAACUCGCAGCGCCAUCUGCAAGUAGCCCCAAGCGCCACCUCUGCUAUUCUCCUCUCCUCUUCGCGGAUUGUGCUAAUUAACUAUUUAAAACGCAUCAACCAUGUGGCGUCCACAAUACCAGCUCACGAUUACGGACAGCACGGGUACGGCAUUCCUCGCUAGAUGUUGUACCC